This 489-nucleotide ribosomal RNA is filed under the name uncultured bacterium. RNAcentral describes it as "bacterial SSU rRNA". It matches the Rfam family "Bacterial small subunit ribosomal RNA", at positions 26 to 518 of the family's 1533-position model. The record is from RNAcentral.
AGGAUGAACGCUAGCUACAGGCUAACACAUGCAAGUCGAGGGUAGCAGGUAGCAAUACCGCUGACGACGGCGCACGGGUGAGUAACACGUAUCCAACCUUCCCACAACUCAGGAAUAGCCUUUCGAAAGAAAGAUUAAUACCUGAUGGUACUUAUAUAAGGCAUCUUAAAUAAGUUAAAGAUUUAUUGGUUGUGGAUGGGGAUGCGUUCCAUUAGAUAGUUGGUGAGGUAACGGCUCACCAAGUCUUCGAUGGAUAGGGGUUCUGAGAGGAAGGUCCCCACAUUGGUACUGAGACACGGACCAAACUCCUACGGGAGGCAGCAGUGAGGAAUAUUGGUCAAUGGGCGAGAGCCUGAACCAGCCAAGUAGCGUGAAGGAUGAAGGUCCUAUGGAUUGUAAACUUCUUUUAUAGUAGAAUAAAGUGAGCCACGUGUGGUUUUUGUAUGUAUACUAUGAAUAAGGAUCGGCUAACUCCGUGCCAGCAGCAGC